AUACGUAGGUGGCGAGCGUUGUCCGGAAUUACUGGGCGUAAAGAGCGCGUAGGCGGCUAUUUAAGUCAGAUGUGAAAACUUGGGGCUCAACCGCAAGAUUGCAUUUGAAACUGGAUAGCUUGAGGGCAAGAGAGGAAAGCGGAAUUCCCAGUGUAGCAGUGAAAUGCGUAGAUAUUGGGAGGAACACCAGUGGCGAAGGCGGCUUUCUGGCUUGUACCUGACGCUGAGGCGCGAAAGCGUGGGGAGCGAACGGGAUUAGAUACCCCGGUAGUCCACGCCGUAAACGAUGGGCACUAGGUGUAGGAGGUAUCGACCCCUUCUGUGCCGCAGCUAACGCAUUAAGUGCCCCGCCUGGGGAGUACGGCCGCAAGGUUGAA
RNAcentral lists this ribosomal RNA (377 nucleotides) under uncultured bacterium. RNAcentral's name for it is "bacterial SSU rRNA". It matches the Rfam family "Bacterial small subunit ribosomal RNA", at positions 523 to 898 of the family's 1533-position model. The record is from RNAcentral.